This 22-nucleotide small nuclear RNA is filed under the name Arabidopsis thaliana (thale cress). RNAcentral describes it as "snRNA_07680". The record is from RNAcentral. Lineage: Eukaryota; Viridiplantae; Streptophyta; Magnoliopsida; Brassicales; Brassicaceae.
GGUUUGUUUGUAGGAUAAGUUA